RNAcentral lists this ribosomal RNA (1206 nucleotides) under Triticum aestivum (bread wheat). RNAcentral's name for it is "partial small subunit ribosomal RNA". The record is from RNAcentral. Lineage: Eukaryota; Viridiplantae; Streptophyta; Magnoliopsida; Poales; Poaceae.
AUGCCACUAUUAUCUCUCUUAGUUCUCUUCCUCUCCUUCUCGGCUUCGUCAGAAGGUCAGACACUCUGCAGCGACAAUAAUGGCGGCAUGUACAUGCCAAACAGCACCUACAAAUCCAACCUUGUAUCCCUCGCUGAACUACUGUUUGCCAAAGCCACAGAGGAGCACUCAGCUACUGGCACGGCUGGCAUACGACCAGACAAGGUCUAUGGUGCAGUGCUUUGUCGGGGUGAUUCUGACGGCUCCGACUGUCGGAAGCGCCUAACCAGGGCCCUUGAUGAAGCAAUCAACAGCAAAGCUGGCAACUCUUACUCCCUCCAGAGUAACAACGUGACCUACUACGACGACCAAUACCAGGCACAGAUAAGCUUCUCUGACCAGGACUUCCUUUCCAACUUCAGCAACAUGCCCGGGUGCACCGUGAAUACUAACCUGAACUCCGUGACGGCCACUGGAGUAGCCAAGCGUUAUGAAGACCUUGUCAACAAGCUGAUACAUGCGCUUGCUGAUGCUGUGGUGAGCCGAGCAGAAAAAUAUGCAGUCAGGAAAGUGAGGUCUGAGGAGACAGGACAGACGGUGUAUGGGCUGGCGCAGUGCAUACGGGAUAUGCCAUAUGAGAGUUGUGCGCCAUGCCUGGAUCGCAUAAUCUCUGACAUGCAGAGUAAGAUCAUUGCUGGCCAGAUAGGGGCAGCAUUUCUUGGGGUGUGGUGCACAUUGCGUUAUGAGACGGACACACAGUUCUUUACUGAUACCAAGAUGCUGUCACUCGGUCCACCGUUAGAACAAACAAUAUUUAAACUAGGACGGCUGUAUUUGUCAAUACAAAUUGCAAUAAAUCUUUGGAGGAUGGGAGGAGCCAACACAGAAUUUUCAGUUUAUGAUUUCUCCAAGAUAAAAGAAGCUACAAAUAACUUCUCGAUUGGUAACAAACUGGGACAAGGUGGCUUUGGUCCUGUAUAUAAGGGCCGAUUAAGAAAUGGACACAAAAUAGCAGUCAUGAGACUGCAAACAUCUUCUUUGCAAGGUUUACUGGAAUUCCAAAACGAAAUUCAACUCAUAGCAAAGGUUCAACACAAAAAUCUCGUGAAACUGCUGGGAUGUUGCACUCAAGGAGAUCGAGAAAAAAUGCUAGUAUAUGAAUAUAUGGAAAACAAAAGCCUAGACAACUUCAUCUUUGAUAUCAUUAAAGGAAGGCGAUUAAACUAG